GUCUCUGUUAAUAUCUACAGUAUAUUCAGUGACCUUUUCUACCGAGCUCUUGCUUCUUUGACAACACAACAAUAUAGUAAGUCCAAAAAUGCCACUGUUUAACAUAAAAUUAUUCAUGGAAAUUAAUUAAUUAAUUAGUCUAUGUAGCUUUGACUACACAAGAACUCAGACCAGGCAGGCCUUGAGUUUAGAAUUCAUCUACUGCUUCUCUCCUUUCUGAGGACUGGAUUAAAUAAAACCUCACAGCACCACCAUGCCCAGUUUCUGUAUUAUUUUUCUGAAGUCCAUAUUAAUUUACUCUACAGUUCCUUGUUCUGUCUGUAUUUAGGUCCUUGAACACAGACAGGCAGGACUCCUAGAUUUCUCAACGCAGUGUUCCUUGCAACAUAUUAAACAUGAUUUUUUUAAAAAGGCAUGAGCUAACUAGAUCCUGCAUGUCCUUCUCUGGGGUCUAGCCUGAUAAGUGUCCUCACCCUGCAUCAAGGAAAUCUGUCUUUGCAACAGACAGAAAUCUGCAACCAAUGAAAAUGCAGAGUUGUGGAACCCAGUGCCAAGAGACACAUUGACAGCACAACUCCUGACCCUCAGGCUGAGAAACCAACUGCCGAGAGUGGGUGGGGAGAGCGUAAGAGCCAGAGGGACGCACGGCUCUAUACAUACGCACGCACGCACGCAUGCACGCAUGCAUGCACGCGUUUCAGAGUUAAAUCUAGAAUUCCUUGUAAUAGAAAGUAUGGCUGAGGGGGCUGGAGAGAUGGCUCAGCAGUUAAGAGCAUCGACUGCUCUUCCAGAGGUCCUGAGUUCAAUUCCCAGCAACCACAUGGUGGCUCACAACCAUCUGUAAUGGGAUCUGAUGCCCUCUUCUGGUGCGUCUGAAAAAAGCAACAGUGUACUUAUA
This 898-nucleotide long non-coding RNA is filed under the name Rattus norvegicus (Norway rat). Its description in RNAcentral is "long non-coding RNA NONRATT025371". The record is from RNAcentral. Lineage: Eukaryota; Metazoa; Chordata; Mammalia; Rodentia; Muridae.